This 652-nucleotide long non-coding RNA is filed under the name Trifolium pratense (red clover). RNAcentral describes it as "long non-coding RNA (TPRA_LNC004402)". The record is from RNAcentral. Lineage: Eukaryota; Viridiplantae; Streptophyta; Magnoliopsida; Fabales; Fabaceae.
GGUUCUUUUUCUAGAAACUGUUUGUUACAGCCUAAUUUUAAUUUUCUUGCAGUGUUAACAGAGUAAGAUUUACACGGGUUUGGUAUACCACAAAAGUUUCCUACUUUUUCAAACACUGAACCUUUUUAAUCACCGUCUUAAGUGUCUUAUGUGGACGAAUCAACCUUACAUGUGAACAUAUUGUUAUGCUGAUUUGUGACUUGGUUUGAAGAACUAUGGUACUAUUCUUUCUUCUUGGUUCUUUUUCUAGAAUCUGUUUGUUACAGCCUAAUUUUAAUUUUCUUGCGGUGUUAACAGAGUAAGAUUUACACGGGUUUGGUAUACCACAAAAGUUUCCUACUUUUUCAAACACUGAACCUUUUUAAUCACCGUCUUAAGUGUCUUAUGUGGACGAAUCAACCUUACAUGUGAACUAUAAUGUUCAGUUGGUUGUGUUACAUAUUUUUUCUAGGCUUUAAUUUGGUGAUCUGUACUCAUAUUUGAAUUCUUCACAUUUCAUAAUAGUUGUUUCAGCAUCCACACCUGAUUCCUUUGUGAAAGCUCAUGGUGAGGUUAUCAUAUUCUUCCAGUGUUGAAGUUUUUGUGAGUUUCUGUAACGUUUUACUCAGUGGUUUAACAUACAAAAUUCUGGAGUAACUCUUCCCUUCCCAAG